GAUGAAGAACGCAGCGAAAUGCGAUAAGUAAUGUGAAUUGCAGAAUUCAGUGAAUCAUCGAAUCUUUGAACGCACCUUGCGCUCCUUGGCAUUCCGAGGAGCAUGCCUGUUUGAGUGUCGUCAAAUUCUCAGAACCCCCACCUGAUCUUUCUGACUUGUCUAUGCGGGGUUCCCUCCCGCUGGCCUCUUCAGGAAGGGAGUGGGUUUUGGACUGGUGGAGGAUGCAUUGGCUAACCAACCCUGUGCUUCUCUGAAAUGGAUCGACGUUACGGCUUCGUUGUCGGUAUGAUACACACAUCUUACCCGCUUCCGAGCCUGAACGCAAGCAAACACACUCUCAUGAGUUGACCUCGAAUCAGGCAGGACUACCCGCUGAACUUAAGCAUAUCAAUAAGCGGAGGA
RNAcentral lists this unclassified non-coding RNA (402 nucleotides) under soil metagenome. RNAcentral describes it as "partial contains 5.8S ribosomal RNA, internal transcribed spacer 2, and large subunit ribosomal RNA". The stretch from base 1 to 120 matches the Rfam family "5.8S ribosomal RNA", at positions 35 to 154 of the family's 154-position model. The record is from RNAcentral.